This 96-nucleotide small nuclear RNA is filed under the name Mus spicilegus (steppe mouse). Lineage: Eukaryota; Metazoa; Chordata; Mammalia; Rodentia; Muridae. The record is from RNAcentral.
UUGCUCAUUUUGGCAGCACAAAUACUAAAUUUGGAAGAAUACAGAGAAGACUAGCAUGGUCCCUGUGCAAGGAUUUGUGAAUCAUUUGUAAAUUUA